RNAcentral lists this ribosomal RNA (253 nucleotides) under uncultured bacterium. Its description in RNAcentral is "partial 16S ribosomal RNA". It matches the Rfam family "Bacterial small subunit ribosomal RNA", at positions 524 to 776 of the family's 1533-position model. The record is from RNAcentral.
UACGUAGGGUGCAAGCGUUAAUCGGAAUUACUGGGCGUAAAGCGUGCGCAGGCGGUGAUGUAAGACAGAUGUGAAAUCCCCGGGCUCAACCUGGGAACUGCAUUUGUGACUGCAUCGCUGGAGUGCGGCAGAGGGGGAUGGAAUUCCGCGUGUAGCAGUGAAAUGCGUAGAUAUGCGGAGGAACACCGAUGGCGAGGGCAAUCCCCUGGGCCUGCACUGACGCUCAUGCACGAAAGCGUGGGGAGCAAACAGG